This 341-nucleotide ribosomal RNA is filed under the name Marmorana saxetana. RNAcentral describes it as "partial 16S ribosomal RNA". It matches the Rfam family "Bacterial large subunit ribosomal RNA", at positions 1948 to 2597 of the family's 2925-position model. The record is from RNAcentral. Lineage: Eukaryota; Metazoa; Mollusca; Gastropoda; Stylommatophora; Helicidae.
GUGCAAAGGUAGCAUAAUCAGUUGGCUUAUAAUUGAAGUCUAGUAUGAACGAAAUAACGGGUAUUAACUGUCUUAAAAGUAAUUCUACAAAUUUAAUAAGUAAGUGCAAAGACUUACAGUAGUAUAUUAGACGAGAAGACCCUAGAAAUUUUAAUAAAUGUUUUUGUUGGGGCGACAUAGUUACAACAAACUAACUCUACACUACAUGUUGUAUUAAAGGAUGAUUAAAUUACUCUAGGGAUAACAGCAUAAUUUAUAAUAGUUUGUGACCUCGAUGUUGGACUAGGUAAAAUGUUUUUUAGAAGAAAACUUUUUGUGCUCUGUUCGAGCAGAAACACCUG